Molecule: ribosomal RNA, 414 nt
Filed under: uncultured bacterium
Lineage: Bacteria
Description: bacterial SSU rRNA
Rfam family: Bacterial small subunit ribosomal RNA
Source: RNAcentral
GUGCCAGCAGCCGCGGCAAUACGGGGGGGGCAAGCGUUGUUCGGAUUUACUGGGCGUAAAGGGAGCGUAGGCUGUCGGUCAAGUCCGGUGUGAAACCCUUACCGCUUACCGGAAGGACGGCACUGGAUACUGGCCGGCUAGAGUGGGGUAGAGGCAAGCGGAAUUCCUGGUGUAGCGGUGGAAUGUGCAGAUAUCAGGAAGAACAUCUGUGGCGAAGGCGGCUUGCUGGGCCCUUACUGACGCUGAGGCUCGAAAGCGUGGGGAGCAAACGGGAUUAGAUACCCCGGUAGUCCACGCCUUAAACGGUGCGCACUAGGUGUGGGAGGUAUCGACCCCCGCGGUGUCGAAGCUAACGCGUUAAGCACUCCGCCUGGGGAGUACGGCCGCAAGGCUAAAACUCAAAUGAAUUGACGG